This 74-nucleotide transfer RNA is filed under the name Datura stramonium (jimsonweed). RNAcentral's name for it is "tRNA-His". It matches the Rfam family "tRNA". From Rfam's summary of the family: Transfer RNA (tRNA) molecules are approximately 80 nucleotides in length. Their secondary structure includes four short double-helical elements and three loops (D, anti-codon, and T loops). Lineage: Eukaryota; Viridiplantae; Streptophyta; Magnoliopsida; Solanales; Solanaceae. The record is from RNAcentral.
GCGAAUGUAGCCAAGUGGAUCAAGGAAGUGGAUUGUGAAUCCACCAUGUGCGGGUUAAAUUCCCGUCGUUCGCC